UUUCUAUUUUCAUAUCUUGUUCAAUACUCAUUUUCGGUAUUAGAAUCAGUGCUCAAGAGGAUAAGGCCUCUCCAAGAGAUCAAGAUCAUGCUUCACAUCAGCAUUAAUUUUUUGGGGGAAAAUCCAACGGUGUCUCUAUAGCCAAGAAUAUCUUCUACAGUCUCCACUUCCCCUAAUCUUCCAAAAAUGUUAUGAUGCUUCGAAAGCUAAGAAUAAAUUUUUCACGGCGUUCACUUCCAUUAUGGGAUUCUCAGGGGUAUCUACUUGAUGAGGAUCUUCACGAUAACUUUUCCUGAUGCAGUGCAGCAUUGAUGAUAACGUUCUUCACAUCUAUCGCGUGAGUC
Molecule: long non-coding RNA, 344 nt
Organism: Frieseomelitta varia
Lineage: Eukaryota; Metazoa; Arthropoda; Insecta; Hymenoptera; Apidae
Exons: 4
Source: RefSeq, a predicted model, not a curated record